Non-coding RNA from Peromyscus maniculatus bairdii (prairie deer mouse), 429 nucleotides. The record is from RefSeq and is a predicted model, not a curated record. NCBI's taxonomy places the organism in Eukaryota, Metazoa, Chordata, Mammalia, Rodentia, Cricetidae.
CUGAAAACGGCCCCAUUCAAGAAAUCCCUGGCCUGUCAGCUGGCAUAUACCUGUCAUUUCAUCAGAUUUGAUGUCAAGUGCCUUUAACUGCGGAGCCAUUGGCAAUCCUCUCCACCUUAGUUUCUGAGACAGAAUCUCUUGCUGAAACUAGGACUCACAAAUGGCUGUACUGGCUGGUUAGUAAGCUUCUGGAAUCCUCUUCUCUCUGCUUCUGGGAGCUGAGACUUAGGACCCAUUGACUAGAAGAACUCAUGGUCCAAGCACCAUCUGUAGCCAGAAAAAUUUCGCCUUCAUGUUUCUGGACCAAUACAUCACUAGCAUCAGGCAUGAUCACAUGCCAAAGCAAAACAUAUUCUGAGAGGAAAAGAAAAUUCCCCAGCAUUUUGAACACAUUGAUACAUAGGUAAAACAAAUCAGUCUCAAUAUUCU